AUUGAACGCUGGCGGCAUGCCUUACACAUGCAAGUCGAACGGUAACGGGCCUUCGGGUGCCGACGAGUAGCGAACGGGUGAGUAAUACAUCGGAACGUGCCCGAUCGUGGGGGAUAACGAGGCGAAAGCUUUGCUAAUACCGCAUACGAUCUACGGAUGAAAGCAGGGGACCGCAAGGCCUUGCGCGAACGGAGCGGCCGAUGGCAGAUUAGGUAGUUGGUGGGAUAAAAGCUUACCAAGCCGACGAUCUGUAGCUGGUCUGAGAGGAUGAUCAGCCACACUGGGACUGGGACACGGCCCAGACUCCUACGGGAGGCAGCAGUGGGGAAUUUUGGACAAUGGGCGCAAGCCUGAUCCAGCCAUGCCGCGUGCAGGAUGAAGGCCUUCGGGUUGUAAACUGCUUUUGUACGGAACGAAAAGCCUUCUUUUAAUACAGGAGGGUCAUGACGGUACCGUAAGAAUAAGCACCGGCUAACUACGUG
This 482-nucleotide ribosomal RNA is filed under the name uncultured bacterium. RNAcentral describes it as "partial 16S ribosomal RNA". It matches the Rfam family "Bacterial small subunit ribosomal RNA", at positions 30 to 507 of the family's 1533-position model. The record is from RNAcentral.